This is a non-coding RNA of Diaporthe citri, 108 nucleotides long. The record is from the annotation of a RefSeq genome assembly. NCBI's taxonomy places the organism in Eukaryota, Fungi, Ascomycota, Sordariomycetes, Diaporthales, Diaporthaceae.
GGUCCGGUGGUGUAGUUGGUUCAUCACGUCAGUCUAACAUUAAAUUAACUCGUCCAGGGUGAUUUGUGGGAGCACUGAAGGUCCCCGGUUCGAGCCCGGGCCAGAUCA